Molecule: ribosomal RNA, 428 nt
Filed under: Chloroflexota bacterium
Lineage: Bacteria; Bacillati; Chloroflexota
Description: Chloroflexi bacterium partial 16S ribosomal RNA
Rfam family: Bacterial small subunit ribosomal RNA
Source: RNAcentral
UGGGGAUUAUUGCACAAUGGGCGCAAGCCUGAUGCAGCCAUGCCGCGUGUAUGAAGAAGGCCUUCGGGUUGUAAAGUACUUUCAGUCGGGAGGAAGGUGUCAAGGUUAAUAACCUUGGCAAUUGACGUUACCGACAGAAGAAGCCCCGGCUAACUCCGUGCCAGCAGCCGCGGUAAUACGGAGGGUGCAAGCGUUAAUCGGAAUUACUGGGCGUAAAGCGCACGCAGGCGGUUGAUUGAGUCAGAUGGGAAAUCCCCGGGCUUAACCCGGGAAUAGCAUCUGGUACUGGUAAGCAAGAGUGUUGUAGAGGGGGGUAGAAUUCCAUGUGUAGCGGUGAAAUGCGUAGAGAUGUGGAGGAAUACCGGUGGCGAAGGCGGCCCCCUGGACAAAGACUGACGCUCAGGUGCGAAAGCGGGGGGAGCAACAGG